Molecule: ribosomal RNA, 497 nt
Filed under: uncultured bacterium
Lineage: Bacteria
Description: partial 16S ribosomal RNA
Rfam family: Bacterial small subunit ribosomal RNA
Source: RNAcentral
GAUGAACGCUGGCGGCGUGCCUAAUACAUGCAAGUCGAGCGAACAGAUGAGGAGCUUGCUCCUCUGACGUUAGCGGCGGACGGGUGAGUAACACGUGGAUAACCUACCUAUAAGACUGGGAUAACUUCGGGAAACCGGAGCAAAUACCGGAUAAUAUAUUGAACCGCAUGGUUCAAUAGUGAAAGACGGUUUUGCUGUCACUUAUAGCUGGAUCCGCGCCGCAUUAGCUAGUUGGUAAGGUAACGGCUUACCAAGGCAACGAUGCGUAGCCGACGUGAUAGGGGGAUCGGCCACACUGGAACGGAGACACGGUCCAGACGCCUAAGGGAGGCAGCAGUAGGGAAUCGUCCGCAAUGGGCGAAAGCCUGACGGAGCAAGGCCGCGUGAGUGAUGAAGGUCUUCGGAUCGUAAAACUCUGUUAUUAGGGAAGAACAAAUGUGUAAGUAACUAUGCACGUCUUGACGGUACCUAAUCAGAAAGCCACGGCUAACUACGUG